Molecule: long non-coding RNA, 234 nt
Organism: Sinocyclocheilus anshuiensis
Lineage: Eukaryota; Metazoa; Chordata; Actinopteri; Cypriniformes; Cyprinidae
Exons: 2
Source: RefSeq, a predicted model, not a curated record
GCGGGAAACUAAUUAGCAGCGAGAGGAGGAAAGUCCUUUUGAAGUUUAGCCGCUCGUGUUUAUAAUCUGGAGACAAAUCUCUUGAGCAGCGGUCUAAACAGUAAUUAGCACGUGGCUACAGCGGAGGCGGUCCUGUAAGUAUGAAGAAGACCAAGACUUUAAUGUCUGACCUGAAGUCCAAAUAUGCUGAUAAAUCUUGGAAUGAGACCGUUCAGCUGGUCCGGAGAUGUAUGG